RNAcentral lists this transfer RNA (72 nucleotides) under Toxocara canis (dog roundworm). It matches the Rfam family "tRNA". From Rfam's summary of the family: Transfer RNA (tRNA) molecules are approximately 80 nucleotides in length. Their secondary structure includes four short double-helical elements and three loops (D, anti-codon, and T loops). Lineage: Eukaryota; Metazoa; Nematoda; Chromadorea; Rhabditida; Toxocaridae. The record is from Rfam by way of RNAcentral.
GCGGCAGUAGCUCAGUGGUAGAGCCUUCGCUUAGCAUGCGGAGAGACCUGGAUUCGAUUCCAGGCUGCUUCC